This 598-nucleotide ribosomal RNA is filed under the name uncultured bacterium. RNAcentral's name for it is "bacterial SSU rRNA". It matches the Rfam family "Bacterial small subunit ribosomal RNA", at positions 56 to 684 of the family's 1533-position model. The record is from RNAcentral.
UGCAGUCGAACGGGGUCGGAACUUCGGUUCCGGCUUACGUGGCGCACGGGUGAGUAACACGUGGGAAUCUGCCCAUCUAUGGGGAAUAACUGCGGGAAACUGCAGCUAAUACCGCAUACGCCCUUCGGGGGAAAGGCUUCGGCCGUAGAUGGAUGAGCCCGCGUCCGAUUAGCUAGUUGGUGGGGUAAUGGCCUACCAAGGCGACGAUCGGUAGCUGGUCUGAGAGGAUGAUCAGCCACACUGGGACUGAGACACGGCCCAGACUCCUACGGGAGGCAGCAGUGGGGAAUAUUGCACAAUGGACGAAAGCCUGAUCCAGCAAUGCCGCGUGUGUGAUGAAGGUCUUCGGAUUGUAAAGCUCUUUCGACGGUGAAGAUAAUGACGGUAUUAAUACUGCUUAGCCCCUGACUAACUUCAUGCCAGAAGCACCGGCUAACUCCGGGGGCUAGCGUUGUUCGGAUUUACUGGUGCGUAGCGUUUGCGUAAUUACUGUAUCGUAAAGCGCGCGUAAGCCCGUAUUUCAACUCCAUGAAUGGCUUUUGAGACUGGUAGGCUGGAGUGCAUUUGAAACUGAAUGGAUUUCCCAUGGUAGAGGUGA